GAUGAACGCUGGCGGCGUGCUUAACACAUGCAAGUCGAACGGUGAAAGAGAGCUUGCUCUCUGGAUCAGUGGCGAACGGGUGAGUAACACGUGAGCAAUCUGCCCCUGACUCUGGGAUAAGCGCUGGAAACGGCGUCUAAUACCGGAUACGAGCUGCGAAGGCAUCUUCAGCAGCUGGAAAGAACUUCGGUCAGGGAUGAGCUCGCGGCCUAUCAGCUAGUUGGUGAGGUAACGGCUCACCAAGGCGUCGACGGGUAGCCGGCCUGAGAGGGUGACCGGCCACACGAGGACUGAGACACGGCCCAGACGCCUACGGGAGGCAGCAGUGGGGAAUAUUGCACAAUGGGCGAAAGCCUGAUGCAGCAACGCCGCGUGAGGGACGACGGCCUUCGGGUUGUAAACCUCUUUUAGCAGGGAAGAAGCGAAAGUGACGGUACCUGCAGAAAAAGCACCGGCUAACUACGUG
RNAcentral lists this ribosomal RNA (466 nucleotides) under uncultured bacterium. RNAcentral's name for it is "partial 16S ribosomal RNA". It matches the Rfam family "Bacterial small subunit ribosomal RNA", at positions 28 to 507 of the family's 1533-position model. The record is from RNAcentral.